Nicotiana tabacum (common tobacco) is the source of this 2221-nucleotide non-coding RNA. Lineage: Eukaryota; Viridiplantae; Streptophyta; Magnoliopsida; Solanales; Solanaceae. The record is from RefSeq and is a predicted model, not a curated record.
GGUAGCUUCGAAACAUAUCAAAAUAAAGUUUUAACUCUCUCAGAACUAAAUAACGCAUAGCUUCAAACACUUCUUUGUAGCUUCAAUCACAGAUGAAGAAAGUAUUUGAAGAACACAUCUCAAAAUGUAUAUAGCUUCAAUCACAUCAAAGUAGGCUAAAACACUCUCAGUCUUGUGGAGGUUACCGAACAUCAAGAAGAGUUUAUUUAGGGCUAUUGGGAAAGGAGGGAAAAUGAGAUUUGCUAUAGAGAAUGCGACAAAGACGAGUAUUGUGAUUGCGGAUACAAAGAUACAUAUAUUGAGAUCGUUUUCGAGUAUUAAGAUCGCUAGGGGUUCACUUUGUAGCGUUAUAUUGGGCUCUCCUGCUGGUUUUUAUGAAGCACUUAAUGGACAUAGGAUUUGUUGGUAAAAAUCUACAGUUCUUCCAGAGAAGUCGCUUCUUCAAAUUUCAAGGUGGAAGGGCAUAAAAGACUGCUUUGGUCCAUAUAUCUCUACGCGACUUCAAUGAAUAAUUUUAACUUGCCUCAGUUGGUACUAUGCUAUUGAGAAACCUACAAAGACUUCACCAAUGAAUGUCUUCCUGAAAUCAAGUGUAUUGUCAGGUAAAAAGUUUAACAUGACUGGGAUUCUUCUCUAAUACCACUGAGAUCCUUAUACUUAAGAGUUUUCUGAUGCUAAGUUUGUAGCGAAAUAUUUGGUUUCUUUGAAGAGUGAAAACAUUUGCUAAUCAGCAUGACUCAAGGUAUUGACUUCUCUCUUUCUUUUAUUUUUUUCUUCUUUUUUGAUCAUAAAUUUAAGCCUAAAACUUAUUUAAAUUAUUCUGCUUAGUGUAUGUAUAGUUGUUGUAAUCGUAAGGUUGUAAUUAAGUUUGAGUUUAUGCUUGACGGAAAAAUAGUAGUAGUAUUUUUCUCUCUAGUUGUUUACUACGAUGGGAAUUUUCUUAAUAAGUAAAAUCCUUUUUUUUUUCAAGAAAUAAUUAAUUUGAAGCUGAUUUUCAAGAUUUAUUGAGCUUGCAAAGGUUUCUGCUGGUAGAAGAUUCUCUUACAUUGUAGAUUCAAGCAUAUCAUAUGUCUUAAUGCUCGGAUUUUUUUACUAUAUUUAGUUGUAUUUGGUAGUGCAUCCAUAUAAGUUGAAGCCCACAUGAGCAACAAAUUGUUGAAAAGACAAGGUGGUAAUAUAAAAAUGCAAUAUAAAUGGUUGUGUUCUUUUCUCCUUUUUUACAGUAUAUUGUUUAUCAAUCAAUUAUUAAUAUAUGAUAGUUUGCAGCUAUACUAUUUUUAUAGUUCAGUUUUCUUUAUUGUUGCGACAGUGCUUGCCUUAGCCGAGGGUCUUUUGGAAACAGUCUGUCUACUUGCAUAAGGUAGAGGUAAGGUUUGCGGACACACUACUUUCCCUAGACCCCACAUAUGGUAAUAUACUAGGUAUGUGGUUGUUGUUUUGUGGAUAACUCUCUUUUAACGGUAAUAAUGCCACUUGAGAUCCUUGCUUUAUUUUUUAGAAGUGUAAGUCACGCAUAUUCCUAAAAGAGAAAACUUGAGCAAUUCCCAAGCAGGAGUGCAUUUUGGCUGCUGUUAAUGAUUAGAAACUAGAGUUGCCUUUAGAUUUAGCAACUCUAUCAGGUGGCUUUGAUCUCAAACUAAUUGUAAUGAGGAACACUUUGUUACAGGUUCUUUCCCUGUCUAUACAAUUUCUAUAAGAAUUCAGAAUUCAACUACCUCUUUUUAUUUACUCUAAGAUGCUAUAAAAUCAUUUUAUUGUUAAUGUUUUACGUUAUGUUUGGAAGCAAAAUUUAUGCAAACUAGUAUUUAUGGAUUGUCGACAUUUGUAUUUUUUGCUUCUUCUAUCUUAGUGCUUAUUUCUUCUGUCUUAUUAAAAUGGACUCUUACUGGGUGUAUCUUACUCUUUACCCUUUGUUAAUUAUUGAUGUAUCUUAAAAUGUUUUCUUUUUCUUUUUUCUUCCCUCAGAAUACUUUUGUGCCAGUUGAAUAUGUUGGUGAAGCAAACAAGCAAUGGAAAGAUGAAAGCAGUGAAGACUUUAUUGAAAAGUAUUGGUUUGGGAUUGAGGCAUAGUUAUUAUUGUUGUUGCCUGUUGGUCUAUAAAGACCUAUGUUCUAGGGAGUUUUUUUAAUUUCAAUUUUUUUUAACUUAUGUAUGCUAACUUUUGAAUUGUCAAACAUUAUUUGUCUAUUUUACAUAUGGAGAAUAUUCUUUGAUUUUUAGA